RNAcentral lists this long non-coding RNA (576 nucleotides) under Homo sapiens (human). Its description in RNAcentral is "non-protein coding lnc-VSTM5-2:1". The record is from RNAcentral. Lineage: Eukaryota; Metazoa; Chordata; Mammalia; Primates; Hominidae.
CCACAGCCCCAGCAUCAUGAUUAGUGAUGAUGAACCAGGUUAUAACCUAGAUUUAUAUCAUAUACCUCAUCAUUACACUGAGGAUUUGCAAAAGGUUUUAUUCCUCAUGGACUGAUUGUGAACAGGACCAAACGACUUGCCUGAGAUGUGAUGAAGGAGAUAGGAGCCUCUCACAUUGUAGCCUUCUGUUUGUUCAAGGGGGGUUGUACUUUUUUUGCUGACCUGCUAGAUAACAUCAAAGCACCUGAAUAGAAAUAGUCAUAGAGCCAUUCCUAUGAUAGAGCCAAUACAGAGCAAGGAGCUACUGUAAUGACCAGUCAACAGGGGAUAUAAAGGUAAUUGGUGGCGAUGAUCCUUCAACUUUAACUAGAAAGAAUGUCUUGAUUUUUGAAGAUGUAAUUGACACUGGCAAAACAAUGCCAACCUUGCCUUCUGGGUCAAGUACUAUAAUCUAAAAAUGGUCAAGGUUUGCAAGCUCGCUAGUGAGAAAGCACCCUUCAGAGUGUUAGAAAUAGGCCAGACUUUGUUGGAUUUGAAAUUCCAGACAAACUUGUUGCAGGAUAUGCCCUUUUCUAU